This 1341-nucleotide ribosomal RNA is filed under the name Triticum aestivum (bread wheat). RNAcentral describes it as "partial small subunit ribosomal RNA". Lineage: Eukaryota; Viridiplantae; Streptophyta; Magnoliopsida; Poales; Poaceae. The record is from RNAcentral.
AUGGAGAAGGAGAAGAAGCUGUCCUUCUCCAUCCCUUCCAAGCUCAGGCCGCCCAAGCCGCCCCGCCCCGCCGCCGGCGCUGAUUCCUCCGCCGCCAGCGGCAACUCCGCUUCCGCGGCCGCUGCCCCCGCCCAGCAAUUCGUCACCGAGUUCGAUCCGUCGCAAACCCUAGCCGCCGGCGCCGCGUCCGCCGUCAUCGCGCCCCUCCCCAACUCCGGCCACUUCCUCAACCACCGCUCCCGCAAACCCUCCUCCCUCCCGACCCCCGAGGAGGAGGCCGCCCUUGCGGCCUCCACCGCCGGUGGCCCCACAUUCGUGCUCGACACCUCCGAGGCCCCCGACAACCCCUCCUCCCACAUAGGGUAUGGCCUCACCCGACGCGGCGCCGACGCCGACGCCGAGGCUGACGCCACGGAGCCGGGUAAGACGCAGUCUUCCAAGGAAUCAGAGAAGAAGCCGACCUCUCCAGCCAGAGAUGGCGGCUCCAGCGGUGACCUUAUGCUGCGACGGUACAAGGAGGACAUGGCCAGCCUCCCUGACCACCGUGGUAUAGAUGAGUUUGAGGAGGUGCCUGUGGAGGGCUUCGGUGCUGCCCUCCUUGCUGGUUACGGCUGGUCGGAAGGCAAAGGGCUCGGCCGCAAUAACAAGGAAGAUACCAAGGUUGUUGAGUAUAACCGCCGUGCCGGUACGCUGGGAUUAGGUUACGACCCUUCUGAGGCAGACCCUAAGAAGACUCGCUCCGGCGACUGGGUUAUUGGUGGAAAGAAGCCGACAGAGAAUGGUGGAAAGAAGUCCGCAGAGAAUGGAAAUGCAAAGAAGAGAGAUAUGGACAAGGAAGACAGAGUCCGGGAGAGGGAUUCAAGUUCCCGACAGAAGAGAUCUGGUGAUCUUAGGGCCGAGAGGGAGGUUCGAGAGAAAGAGAGAAAAUCUCGGGAUAGUCGAGAAGAAAAGAGUAGCCGCGAUGUUGGUAACAAAGUGCGCUGGUUACAGAGCAAUAUUAGGGUUAGAGUGGUUAAUGAGAGGUUCAGCAGAAGGUUGUACCUGCAGAAGGCAAAAAUUGUCGAUGUGGUUGGACCAACGACAUGUGACAUAAUGAUGGAUGACGGGUCAGAGCUUGUGCAGGGGGUGGAGCAGGAUAUGCUUGAAACAGUCCUGCCACGGACAAACGGCCAAGUGCUUGUGCUCUGUGGGAAGCACAAGGGGGUGUAUGGGCAUCUGGUAGAGAAGAAUUCAGAGGCAGAGACUGCAGUAGUGGAGGAUGCGGAUACAAAAGACAUGGUGCGUGUGAAAUAUGAUCAGAUUGCAGAGUACGUUGGGGACCCAGAAUUGCUUGGGCAUUGA